UACCAGCACCCCGAGUGGUCGGGACGUUUAUUGGGCCUAAAGCAUCCGUAGCCGGUUCUACAAGUCUUCCGUUAAAUCCAACUGCUUAACAGGUGGGCUGCGGAAGAUACUAUAGAGCUAGGAGGCGGGAGAGGCAAGCGGUACUCGAUGGGUAGGGGUAAAAUCCGUUGAUCCAUUGAAGACCACCAGUGGCGAAGGCGGCUCACUGGCCCGUUACCGACGCUCAGGCGCGACAGCGUGGG
This 242-nucleotide ribosomal RNA is filed under the name uncultured bacterium. RNAcentral's name for it is "partial 16S ribosomal RNA". It matches the Rfam family "Archaeal small subunit ribosomal RNA", at positions 474 to 716 of the family's 1478-position model. The record is from RNAcentral.